GGGCCCGCACAAGCAGUGGAUUAUGUGGAUUAAUUCGACGCAACGCGAAGAACCUUACCGGGGCUUGACAUCCUACUAACGAAGCAGAGAUGCAUUAGGUGCCCUUCGGGGAAAGUAGAGACAGGUGGUGCAUGGUUGUCGUCAGCUCGUGUCGUGAGAUGUUGGGUUAAGUCCCGCAACGAGCGCAACCCCUAUUGUUAGUUGCUACGCGAGAGCACUCUAACGAGACUGCCGUUGACAAAACGGAGGAAGGUGGGGACGACGUCAAAUCAUCAUGCCCCUUAUGUCCCGGGCUUCACACGUAAUACAAUGGCGCAUUAACAAAGGGAAGCGAAGGCGCGAGCCGGAGCAAAACCUCAAAAGGCGUCUCAAGUUCGGAUUGCAGGCUGCAACUCGCCUGCAUGAAGUCGGAAUUGCUAGUAAUCGCGGAUCAGCAUGCCG
RNAcentral lists this ribosomal RNA (441 nucleotides) under uncultured Bacillota bacterium. RNAcentral describes it as "bacterial SSU rRNA". It matches the Rfam family "Bacterial small subunit ribosomal RNA", at positions 917 to 1359 of the family's 1533-position model. The record is from RNAcentral. Lineage: Bacteria; Bacillati; Bacillota.